Molecule: ribosomal RNA, 437 nt
Filed under: uncultured bacterium
Lineage: Bacteria
Description: partial 16S ribosomal RNA
Rfam family: Bacterial small subunit ribosomal RNA
Source: RNAcentral
AGCGAACGCUGGCGGCAGGCUUAACACAUGCAAGUCGAGCGGGCAUCCUUGUGGUGUCAGCGGCAGACGGGUGAGUAACGCGUGGGAACGUGCCCUUCGGUUCGGAAUAACUCAGGGAAACUUGAGCUAAUACCGGAUACGUGCGAGAGCAGAAAGGUUUAUCUGCCGAAGGAUCGGCCCGCGUCUGAUUAGCUAGUUGGUGAGGUUACGGCUCACCAAGGCGACGAUCAGUAGCUGGUCUGAGAGGAUGAUCAGCCACACUGGGACUGAGACACGGCCCAGACUCCUACGGGAGGCAGCAGUGGGGAAUAUUGGACAAUGGGGGCAACCCUGAUCCAGCCAUGCCGCGUGAGUGAUGACGGCCUUAGGGUUGUAAAGCUCUUUUCUCCGGGACGAUAAUGUCGGUACCGGAGGAAUAAGCCCCGGCUAACUUCGUG